This 1313-nucleotide ribosomal RNA is filed under the name Sterigmatomyces sp. RNAcentral describes it as "small subunit ribosomal RNA". It matches the Rfam family "Bacterial small subunit ribosomal RNA". Lineage: Eukaryota; Fungi; Basidiomycota; Agaricostilbomycetes; Agaricostilbales; Agaricostilbaceae. The record is from RNAcentral.
UUAAGAACGAGUUUUGUCUUGGCUCAGAUCAUUCCCUGUUCAGUGAUCUCAACACAUGCAAGUCAUUCGUGGACUUCGGUCUACGUUUGGCGUAUUGGCGAGGAAUAUGAGUAACCACUCUGCUACGUGCAGACAGUGCUGAUUUCGCAACAGAUAGUUGGUAAGGAAACGGCUUACCAAGUCUACGACGCGUAGGAGACCCUGAGAGGGGCAACUCCCGCAGUUGCUAUGAAAUACGCCACCGAGUGUAAUACUCGCAGCAGUGGAGAAUAUUAUACAAUGACGGUUUACUCCGUUGAUAUAGUCAACUGAAAUGAAUUCAUCGAUGGUGAAUUCACUUGACAUAGUAGAACGACGAUUUACUAUGUUAGUAGUACGGGCACACAGUGCUGCCAGCCGCCGCGGCCAUACCACGCGUACAAGGGAAUUUCGUCAUAAAUGUGCGCACAGGAUCUGUAGGCUGUCUUAACAAUGAGACUAGAAUUUAAAAGACGUGUCGAGUAACGUGCAUGAGUAGCGAUGAAAUGUUAUAAUCCGCACUGGACUACCAAUAGCGAAAGCACGACACGACUAAAUAUUGACGCUGAGAGAUGAAGCCGUGGGUCACGACCAGGAUUAGAUACCAUUGUUAGUCCACGGUGUCAACUAUGUAUACUAACAAUGUGUCACGCCGACAUGUUGUGCUGCUAACGCGUAAGUAUACCGCACCCAUAGUAUAGCCGCAAGGCCGAAACGGAAAAAACAAGGCGGCGCCGAGAACCGAGAGUGAACCAUGAUGUUUAAUGCGAUAAUCCACGCAGAACCUUACCUUUCCUUUCAUCUCUGCUUUUUAGCAGAUGACAGGUGUUGCAUGGCUGUCGUCAGUUCGUGCUGUCAGGCGUUAGGUUAAUUCCGCUAACGAACGCAAUCCCUGAUAUCAGUUACAUUCCUGGUAUUACGAGUCCGAUAUGGAUUCGUUUUUGGGGCGAAGUCAAGCCUUCAUGACCCUUAUGGAAAGGGCUACGGUCGUGGCGCAAGUGUUACUACAAUGAGAAGCAAUACCGCGAGGUGGAGCGAAUCUUAAACGGUAUCACAGUUCGAAUUGCACUCUGAAAUUCGAGUGCAUGAAGAAGGAAUUCUCAGUAAUCGUGUAUGAGAACGGCACGGUGAAUUAAAGACUCCGUGUGUACUAAUCGCUCGUCACUGACAGGUGGCAUCCUUAAUGUGAAGGGGGUUGAUCUUUUCGAAGACAAUGUCAAUAGCAUUGAGUUGCUGCUUGCCAGAAGUCGCAACACAGAAGCGGUACGGGAACGUGCUGCUGAUUGAUAUACCAA